CAUGCCUCUCUCACUCCAUUUUUGAAACACUCACGGCUCCUUUUUUCCUUUUACCAAAAGAAAAAACUCUCCAAAAAAUCUCUUACGCCCCUCUUCCUUAUAUCUACGGUCCCUUUUUUAAAUUCUUUUUUCCCUUCUCUCUCUCUCUCUCUCCCCCCAUUUUUAAUCAAGUGAGUCUUGGUUGGACUUGCAAUUGUGAACUUUAUUUUCUCCCUUCUUACCUCCACUCUCCAUCCCCCCCCCCCCCCUCUUCCUCAGUUUUUUUCUCAUCACUUCUAUUCUCUGUCUCUCUCAGGUUUUGGAGAAUUAUUAUGUUAAUAAUUUUGUUUUCCUUUUUUCUUAAUCAAGUUUGACAAUUCAAAUGAAACGUUGAAGCCUUGAUCGAUUUUUGAGGGUAGUGGCUACAAGAACUUCUGUGACUCUGAGGCUGGUAUUUCUGUAGCUUGUUCCACUACCCUCUUAAAACAGGGUAGUGGAUCUUUAUAGCUCAAACGGUCAGCAUUAUUGAAUAGAAGAGUAUAGACAUCUGGAACUCUUCGUUGCUGCUAAAUCUAAACCAAGUCGAAGCUUCUUUGCUCUUUCAAUGAAGGUCGAAGCCCUUAGAGAUGGAGUUCUCCUUGUUGGAGCCUUGAUCUGUGGAAAAUCUAGUGUUGGUCUGACUCUCUUGGUUUACUCUCCUGCCUAAAUGACUUUGUUUCAGCUCUAGACCAUAGUUAUUAAAUUCGGAUUCGGGAAUUUUGGGAUGAAGAAUUAUUCAGAUUAAUAAGUUUUAUUAAUUCAA
Macadamia integrifolia is the source of this 781-nucleotide long non-coding RNA. RefSeq lists it as uncharacterized. NCBI's taxonomy places the organism in Eukaryota, Viridiplantae, Streptophyta, Magnoliopsida, Proteales, Proteaceae. The transcript is spliced from 3 exons. The record is from RefSeq and is a predicted model, not a curated record.